This is a long non-coding RNA of Morus notabilis, 1839 nucleotides long. RefSeq lists it as uncharacterized. The record is from RefSeq and is a predicted model, not a curated record. NCBI's taxonomy places the organism in Eukaryota, Viridiplantae, Streptophyta, Magnoliopsida, Rosales, Moraceae. The transcript has 6 exons.
CUCUCUCUCUCGAUGGGGCAUGUUUGGUGACAUUUCCGAAAUGGUUUCCACGUUCUCUGAUAAAUUUGUUUUUGAAAGAGGGCAUAACAUCCAUGCUUAUUCCUACAACCACUAUGCAACCAGUGUGGCAAGCAAAAAUUCUUCUCUCGACUGUGAUAAACUUCAAUGCUCUUGAUAAAAAGCCAAUAUGCUGGUGCUUGAGAGAGCCCAAAGCAGCUUUCUAUGGAGGAGGUAUAAUAGAAGAAGGAUUAUCAAAGGAGGGAAACAGGUUGAUUGUGGCACAAAAUAGAACACACCCAUUAGGCAGUUUCUAUCAGAAAGUUCAAGUUGAGCAAGGAAAAAUCUAUAGUUUUUCUGGUUGGGUUCACGUCAGUGAAGUGAGAUUGUAGCAGUUGUCUUUAAACCAGCCAAGGGUGAUCUUACACAUGGUUAUAGCUAAGAGUGGAUGCUGGACUCUACUAAAAGGUGGCAUGGUCGCCAAUUUCUCGAGCCCGGUUGAGAUUUUUUUAGAGGUAUAUUUCGAUCUCUGAAUUUAUCUUCAAGGUUUCGAGGUCUUGUUUUACUCGAUUUUUGUUGAACUUGCUUUUUCUCAAGAAUACGUCAAAAGAAAUAUGGAUUGAAAAUGUCUUCACUUCAGCCAUUCACCAAGCAGUGGAGAUCCCACCAAGACAAAAGCAUUGAUAAGGUUCGCAGAAGCAACGUGAGAUUCCGAGUAACCAAUGCAGAUCAAACUCCAUUGGAAGGUGCUCAAGUGUCUAUCAAGCAAACCAAGUCAGACUUCCCCUUUGGAUGUGCUAGGAACUACCAUAUCUUCAAAGUGCUGACUAUCAAAACUGGUUCUUAUGAAGAUUCAAAGCCACCACUUUCACCAAUGAGAUGAAGUGGUACGCCACUGAGAAUAAGCAGGGCCAAGAAAACUACACCAUAGCAGAUGCCAUGAUGAAAUUUGCUCGAAAGAACAGCAUUUCGGUUAGAGGCCACAACGUGUUCUGGGAUAAUCCGAAGUACCAGGCUUCCUGGGUUAGAUCUCUUUACACCGGUCAACUGUGAAGUGCGGCGGCGAGAAGAAUUAGGUCAGUAGUUUCUAGACACAGUGAAGGCUAAUUGCUUGGGAUGUGAAUGAGAAUCUUCAUUUCAGAUUUUUCGAGGAUGAACUUGGUCAAAAUGCCUCUGCAGAAUUCUACCAUGUAGCUCAACAGCUUGAUCCAAACACAACCAUGUUCCUUAAUGAGUAUAACACAAUUGAAUACAGCAAUGAUAAGACCUCAAGCCCAUUUAACUAUCAUAAGUUAAGGAGAUCUUGUCAGUCCAUGGAAGAAAUGCUAAUCUCUCACUAGGAAUAGGGCUGCAAGGUCACUUUGGUUCUGGUCAACCAAACCUUGCUUACAUGAGAUCUGCUUUAGACAUUUUAGGUACAACAGGACUUCCCAUUUGGCUUACAGAAGUGGAUGUGAAUAAGGGCCCAAAUCAGGCUAUUCACAUCCCGCUGUACAAGGCAUAAUCAUGUUUGCUGGUCCGAAAGCAGCCGGCUUUAAUGUUGCAAUUCUCACGGAUAUCUACUUCCGAAAUACUCCGGCAGGAGAUGUCGUAGACAAGCUGAUUCAAGAGUGGAGCUCUGAGAUUCUGGAGACCAAAACAGACAGUAAAGGAUACAUAGAUGUGUCACUUUUUUAUGGAGAUUAUGAUGUUAGUGUAAAACAACCUUUGACCAACACUUCACCUACUAUGAGUUUAAGGAUCACAAGAGAUAACCCGCAAGCAAAUGUAAAGGUUCUUAUUGAUACGUGAAAUAUCAAUUACGUACACUAUUGAACGAACCACUCAAAAAAGGCUUUUACU